Molecule: ribosomal RNA, 585 nt
Filed under: uncultured bacterium
Lineage: Bacteria
Description: partial 16S ribosomal RNA
Rfam family: Bacterial small subunit ribosomal RNA
Source: RNAcentral
UGGGGAAUUUUGGACAAUGGGCGAAAGCCUGAUCCAGCAAUGCCGCGUGUGUGAAGAAGGCCUUCGGGUUGUAAAGCACUUUUGUCCGGAAAGAAAUCCUUGGCUCUAAUACAGUCGGGGGAUGACGGUACCGGAAGAAUAAGCACCGGCUAACUACGUGCCAGCAGCCGCGGUAAUACGUAGGGUGCAAGCGUUAAUCGGAAUUACUGGGCGUAAAGCGUGCGCAGGCGGUUUGCUAAGACCGAUGUGAAAUCCCCGGGCUCAACCUGGGAACUGCAUUGGUGACUGGCAGGCUAGAGUAUGGCAGAGGGGGGUAGAAUUCCACGUGUAGCAGUGAAAUGCGUAGAGAUGUGGAGGAAUACCGAUGGCGAAGGCAGCCCCCUGGGCCAAUACUGACGCUCAUGCACGAAAGCGUGGGGAGCAAACAGGAUUAGAUACCCUGGUAGUCCACGCCCUAAACGAUGUCAACUAGUUGUUGGGGAUUCAUUUCCUUAGUAACGUAGCUAACGCGUGAAGUUGACCGCCUGGGAAGUACGGUCGCAAGAUUAAAACUCAAAUGAAUUGACGGGGUCAUAGCUGUUUCCU